Small nucleolar RNA from Bison bison bison, 131 nucleotides. Its record names the gene SNORA72. It matches the Rfam family "Small nucleolar RNA SNORA72". Rfam says of the family: U72 is a member of the H/ACA class of snoRNAs. The snoRNA gene is located in intron 4 of the ribosomal L30 protein gene in human, mouse and chicken. The record is from Ensembl. Lineage: Eukaryota; Metazoa; Chordata; Mammalia; Artiodactyla; Bovidae.
CUGUGGAUAUUCUCACUGUUUUGAUAUUUUAAUAAUUAGGGAAGGCUAAACAUUUUCUAUAUGAAGACCAUACACAUGUCCACAGACCUAGUUCUCAUCUAAAUCUAGUUUUAUAAAUGCUGAUAAUAAAC